GGGGAGGUGCCGGAGUGGACGAUCGGGGCCGCCUGCUAAGUGGUUGCAGGGGUAACUCUCUGCCCAGGGUUCGAAUCCCUGCCUCCCCG
RNAcentral lists this transfer RNA (89 nucleotides) under Chloroflexota bacterium. Its description in RNAcentral is "Chloroflexi bacterium (anaerobic digester metagenome) tRNA-Ser". It matches the Rfam family "tRNA". Rfam says of the family: Transfer RNA (tRNA) molecules are approximately 80 nucleotides in length. Their secondary structure includes four short double-helical elements and three loops (D, anti-codon, and T loops). Further hydrogen bonds mediate the characteristic L-shaped molecular structure. tRNAs have two regions of fundamental functional importance: the anti-codon, which is responsible for specific mRNA codon recognition, and the 3' end, to which the tRNAs corresponding amino acid is attached (by aminoacyl-tRNA synthetases). tRNAs cope with the degeneracy of the genetic code in two manners: having more than one tRNA (with a specific anti-codon) for a particular amino acid; and 'wobble' base-pairing, i.e. permitting non-standard base-pairing at the 3rd anti-codon position. Lineage: Bacteria; Bacillati; Chloroflexota. The record is from RNAcentral.